GAUGAACGCUGGCGGCGUGCCUAACACAUGCAAGUCGAGCGAGAGUUUGAGGAACGAGCCUUCGGGUAAGGGAAUCGAAUGAAAGCGGCGGACGGGUGAGUAACGCGUGGGUAACCUGCCCUAUGGAGGGGGAUAACGCAGAGAAAUUUGCGCUAAUACCGCAUAAGCGCACAGUAUCGCAUGAUACAGUGUGAAAAACUCCGGUGCCAUAGGAUGGACCCGCGUCUGAUUAGCUAGUUGGUGAGGUAAAAGCUCACCAAGGCGACGAUCAGUAGCCGACCUGAGAGGGUGAUCGGCCACAUUGGGACUGAGACACGGCCCAAACUCCUACGGGAGGCAGCAGUGGGGGGAUAUUGCACAAUGGGCGAAAGCCUGAUGCAGCAACGCCGCGUGAAGGAAGAAGGUUUUCGGAUUGUAAACUUCUAUCAGCAGGGACGAAAAUGACGGUACCUGACUAAGAAGCCCCGGCUAACUACGUGCCAGCAGCCGCGGUAAA
This 496-nucleotide ribosomal RNA is filed under the name uncultured bacterium. RNAcentral describes it as "bacterial SSU rRNA". It matches the Rfam family "Bacterial small subunit ribosomal RNA", at positions 28 to 524 of the family's 1533-position model. The record is from RNAcentral.